Molecule: ribosomal RNA, 528 nt
Filed under: uncultured Glomus
Lineage: Eukaryota; Fungi; Glomeromycota; Glomeromycetes; Glomerales; Glomeraceae
Description: SSU rRNA
Rfam family: Eukaryotic small subunit ribosomal RNA
Source: RNAcentral
UUGGAGGGCAAGUCUGGUGCCAGCAGCCGCGGUAAUUCCAGCUCCAAUAGCGUAUAUUAAAGUUGUUGCAGUUAAAAAGCUCGUAGUUGAAUUUCGAGACCGGUUUACUGGUCGUGCUUUUGUACGUACUGGUAUUAUUGGUUUCUCCUUUCUGACGAAUCAUAAUGCCAUUAAUUUGGUGUUUUGGGGAAUCAGGACUGUUACUUUGAAAAAUUGAGUGUUUAAAGCAGGCUCACGCUUGAAUACAUUAGCAUGGAAUAACGAAAUAGGACGUUUGAUUUUAUUUGUGGUUUCUAGGAUCGACGUGAUGAUUAAUAGGGAUAUUGGGGGCAUUAGUAUUCAAUUGUCAGAGGUGAAAUUCUUGGAUUUAUUGAAGACUAACUACCGCGAAAGCAUUUGCCAAGGAUGUUUUCAUUAAUCAAGAACGAAAGUUAGGGGAUCGAAGACGAUCAGAUACCGUCGUAGUCUUAACCAUAAACUAUGCCGACUAGGGAUCGGAUGAUGUUAAUUUUUAAUGACUCAUUCGGC